Long non-coding RNA from Clupea harengus (Atlantic herring), 484 nucleotides. The record is from Ensembl. NCBI's taxonomy places the organism in Eukaryota, Metazoa, Chordata, Actinopteri, Clupeiformes, Clupeidae.
ACUGCCCCUGCAGGAUACCUCUAAAUAUGCAGGAGACUACUACCAGUUGUGUCAAUUGUAUGACUAUUUGUAUGAAAUAUUUAAGUUAACAAAGAUCUAGGAAUCAGUGAAAAAAAAUCAGUUCAAUCCAAAUGAAUAAAAAUAUGCCUUAAGAGAUUAGGGCUUCGUGAUAAAAAGACACCAACGGGACAGUAACGCUAGCCUAUUACUACAGCUAAAGAUAAGCAAAGUCGAGCUCCACGUCAAGGAAAACAAUAAGGAGCACCGCACUGAUGACGUAACCGUAAAACGUUUGAUGGUGCGGCGUGGCCAGAACUUCAAAAUCACUCUCAAGACCAAUCGGCAGUUCCAGCCUGAUACCGACACGCUAAUUUUUACUGCGGAGACAGGACCCAAGCCAUCAGAGGAAAAGGGCACGCGUUGCGUGUUUGGUUACCCAAAGUUGACGGGUGCAAAGAAAGCAUGGACAGCACUGGUACAGGAG